RNAcentral lists this ribosomal RNA (500 nucleotides) under uncultured bacterium. Its description in RNAcentral is "partial 16S ribosomal RNA". It matches the Rfam family "Bacterial small subunit ribosomal RNA", at positions 30 to 523 of the family's 1533-position model. The record is from RNAcentral.
AUUGAACGCUGGCGGAAUGCUUUACACAUGCAAGUCGAACGGCAGCACGGACUUCGGUCUGGUGGCGUGUGGCGAACGGGUGAGUAAUGUAUCGGAACGUGCCCAGUCGUGGGGGAUAACGUAGUGAAAAUUACGCUAAUACUGCAUACGAUCUAUGGAUGAAAGCGGGGGAUCGCAAGACCUCGCGCGAUUGGAGCGGCCGAUAUCAGAUUAGGUAGUUGGUGGGGUAAAGGCCCACCAAGCCAACGAUCUGUAGCUGGUCUGAGAGGACGACCAGCCACACUGGAACUGAGAGACGGUCCAGACUCCUACGGGAGGCAGCAGUGGGGAAUUUUGGACAAUGGGCGAAAGCCUGAUCCAGCCAUUCCGCGUGCAGGAUGAAGGCCCUCGGGUUGUAAACUGCUUUUGUACAGAACGAAAAGGUUUCUACUAAUACUAGGAGCUCAUGACGGUACUGUAAGAAUAAGCACCGGCUAACUACGUGCCAGCCGCCGCGGUAA